GUGCUCGCUUUGGCAGCACAUAUACUGGGGUUGGAAGGAUACAGAGAAGAUCAGCAUGGCCCUUGCCCAAGGAUGACAUGCAAAUUCGUGAAGCGUUUCAUAUUUAA
Small nuclear RNA from Molossus molossus (Pallas's mastiff bat), 107 nucleotides. Lineage: Eukaryota; Metazoa; Chordata; Mammalia; Chiroptera; Molossidae. The record is from RefSeq and is a predicted model, not a curated record.